This 1450-nucleotide ribosomal RNA is filed under the name uncultured organism. RNAcentral's name for it is "16S ribosomal RNA". It matches the Rfam family "Bacterial small subunit ribosomal RNA". The record is from RNAcentral.
GCCUAACACAUGCAAGUCGAGCGGUAGCACAGAGAGCUUGCUCUCGGGUGACGAGCGGCGGACGGGUGAGUAAUGUCUGGGAAACUGCCUGAUGGAGGGGGAUAACUACUGGAAACGGUAGCUAAUACCGCAUAACGUCGCAAGACCAAAGUGGGGGACCUUCGGGCCUCAUGCCAUCAGAUGUGCCCAGAUGGGAUUAGCUAGUAGGUGGGGUAACGGCUCACCUAGGCGACGAUCCCUAGCUGGUCUGAGAGGAUGACCAGCCACACUGGAACUGAGACACGGUCCAGACUCCUACGGGAGGCAGCAGUGGGGAAUAUUGCACAAUGGGCGCAAGCCUGAUGCAGCCAUGCCGCGUGUGUGAAGAAGGCCUUCGGGUUGUAAAGCACUUUCAGCGGGGAGGAAGGCGUUAAGGUUAAUAACCUUGGCGAUUGACGUUACCCGCAGAAGAAGCACCGGCUAACUCCGUGCCAGCAGCCGCGGUAAUACGGAGGGUGCAAGCGUUAAUCGGAAUUACUGGGCGUAAAGCGCACGCAGGCGGUCUGUCAAGUCGGAUGUGAAAUCCCCGGGCUCAACCUGGGAACUGCAUUCGAAACUGGCAGGCUAGAGUCUUGUAGAGGGGGGUAGAAUUCCAGGUGUAGCGGUGAAAUGCGUAGAGAUCUGGAGGAAUACCGGUGGCGAAGGCGGCCCCCUGGACAAAGACUGACGCUCAGGUGCGAAAGCGUGGGGAGCAAACAGGAUUAGAUACCCUGGUAGUCCACGCCGUAAACGAUGUCGAUUUGGAGGUUGUGCCCUUGAGGCGUGGCUUCCGGAGCUAACGCGUUAAAUCGACCGCCUGGGGAGUACGGCCGCAAGGUUAAAACUCAAAUGAAUUGACGGGGGCCCGCACAAGCGGUGGAGCAUGUGGUUUAAUUCGAUGCAACGCGAAGAACCUUACCUGGUCUUGACAUCCACAGAACUUUCCAGAGAUGGAUUGGUGCCUUCGGGAACUGUGAGACAGGUGCUGCAUGGCUGUCGUCAGCUCGUGUUGUGAAAUGUUGGGUUAAGUCCCGCAACGAGCGCAACCCUUAUCCUUUGUUGCCAGCGGUUCGGCCGGGAACUCAAAGGAGACUGCCAGUGAUAAACUGGAGGAAGGUGGGGAUGACGUCAAGUCAUCAUGGCCCUUACGACCAGGGUUACACACGUGCUACAAUGGCAUAUACAAAGAGAAGCGACCUCGCGAGAGCAAGCGGACCUCAUAAAGUAUGUCGUAGUCCGGAUUGGAGUCUGCAACUCGACUCCAUGAAGUCGGAAUCGCUAGUAAUCGUAGAUCAGAAUGCUACGGUGAAUACGUUCCCGGGCCUUGUACACACCGCCCGUCACACCAUGGGAGUGGGUUGCAAAAGAAGUAGGUAGCUUAACCUUCGGGAGGGCGCUUACCACUUUGUGAUUCAUGACUGGGGUGAAGUCG